UACGUAGGGUGCGAGCGUUGUCCGGAAUUACUGGGCGUAAAGAGCUUGUAGGUGGUUUGUCGCGUUGUUCGUGAAAUCUCACGGCUCAACUGUGAGCGUGCGGGCGAUACGGGCAGACUAGAGUACUGCAGGGGAGACUGGAAUUCCUGGUGUAGCGGUAGAAUGCGCAGAUAUCAGGAGGAACACCGGUGGCGAAGGCGGGUCUCUGGGCCGAUACUGACGCUGAGGAGCGAAAGCGUGGGGAGCGAACAGG
RNAcentral lists this ribosomal RNA (253 nucleotides) under uncultured bacterium. RNAcentral describes it as "partial 16S ribosomal RNA". It matches the Rfam family "Bacterial small subunit ribosomal RNA", at positions 524 to 776 of the family's 1533-position model. The record is from RNAcentral.